This 490-nucleotide ribosomal RNA is filed under the name uncultured bacterium. RNAcentral describes it as "partial 16S ribosomal RNA". It matches the Rfam family "Bacterial small subunit ribosomal RNA", at positions 30 to 507 of the family's 1533-position model. The record is from RNAcentral.
AUUGAACGCUGGCGGCAGGCCUAACACAUGCAAGUCGAACGGUAACAGGAAGCAGCUUGCUGCUUUGCUGACGAGUGGCGGACGGGUGAGUAAUGUCUGGGAAACUGCCUGAUGGAGGGGGAUAACUACUGGAAACGGUAGCUAAUACCGCAUAACGUCGCAAGACCAAAGAGGGGGACCUUCGGGCCUCUUGCCAUCGGAUGUUCCCAGAUGGGAUUAGCUAGUAGGUGGGGUAACGGCUCACCUAGGCGACGAUCCCUAGCUGGUCUGAGAGGAUGACCAGCCACACUGGAACUGAGACACGGUCCAGACUCCUACGGGAGGCAGCAGUGGGGAAUAUUGCACAAUGGGCGCAAGCCUGAUGCAGCCAUGCCGCGUGUAUGAAGAAGGCCUUCGGGUUGUAAAGUACUUUCAGCGGGGAGGAAGGGAGUAAAGUUAAUACCUUUGCUCAUUGACGUUACCCGCAGAAGAAGCACCGGCUAACUACGUG